AAUACGAAAGUUCUUGAAGGUGGCCGGAAUUACUGGGCGUAAAGCGCACGCAGGCGGUCUGUCAAGUCGGAUGUGAAAUCCCCGGGCUCAACCUGGGAACUGCAU
Molecule: ribosomal RNA, 105 nt
Filed under: Escherichia coli
Lineage: Bacteria; Pseudomonadati; Pseudomonadota; Gammaproteobacteria; Enterobacterales; Enterobacteriaceae
Description: partial 16S ribosomal RNA
Rfam family: Bacterial small subunit ribosomal RNA
Source: RNAcentral